UAGCAUAAUCAUUAGUUUCUUAAUUAGAAACUCGUAUGAAUGGUUGAACAAAAGAAGAGCUGUCUCUGGUAUAGAAAUAGAAUUUAACUUUUAAGUGAAAAGGCUUAAAUUAUUCAAGGGGACGAUAAGACCCUAUAAAGCUUUAUAUUGUCAGCUGAAUUUUAAUUGAAUUAGAGAAAGUUAAAGAUUUUAAUGGGCUAUUAUAUUUUAUUGGGGAGGUACAAGUAUAAUUUUUAUAACUGCUUAUAAUUAAUACAUAGAUAGUUGGUUUUUGUUUUAAUGAUCCUUUAUUAAUAAAGAUUAAAGACUAAGUUACUUUAGGGAUAACAGCGUUAUUUUUUUUGAGAGUUCAUAUCGAAAAAAAAGUUUGCGACCUC
Molecule: ribosomal RNA, 377 nt
Filed under: Atelecyclus undecimdentatus
Lineage: Eukaryota; Metazoa; Arthropoda; Malacostraca; Decapoda; Atelecyclidae
Description: partial 16S ribosomal RNA
Rfam family: Bacterial large subunit ribosomal RNA
Source: RNAcentral